This 77-nucleotide transfer RNA is filed under the name Flavobacteriales bacterium. Its description in RNAcentral is "tRNA-His". It matches the Rfam family "tRNA". Rfam says of the family: Transfer RNA (tRNA) molecules are approximately 80 nucleotides in length. Their secondary structure includes four short double-helical elements and three loops (D, anti-codon, and T loops). Lineage: Bacteria; Pseudomonadati; Bacteroidota; Flavobacteriia; Flavobacteriales. The record is from RNAcentral.
GUGAUUGUAGCUCAGUUGGUUAGAGCACUGGUUUGUGGUGCCGGGGGUCGUGGGUUCGAAUCCCAUCAGUCACCCCA